UGGGAAUAUUGACAAUGGGGCAACCCUGAUCCAGCCAUGCCGCGUGAGUGAUGAAGGCCUUCGGGUUGUAAAGCAUCUUUUGCGGGGUACGAUGAUGACGGAUACCCCGCAGAAUAAGCCCCGGCUAACUUCGUGCCAGCAGCCGCGGUAAGACGAAGGGGGCUAGCGUUGUUCGGAAUUACUGGGCGUAAAGCGAGUGUAGGCGGUUUGCCGUAGUCAGGUGUGAAAGCCCUUGAGCUCAACUCAAGAAAUGCACUUGAUACUGGGUGACUAGAGGACCGGAGAGGAUAGUGGAAUUCCCCAGUGUAGUGGGUGAAAUACGUAGAGAUUGGGAAGAACACCAGUGGCGAAGGCGGCUAUCUGGACGGUUACUGACGCUAAGACUCGAAAGCGUGGGGAGCAAACAGGAUUAGAUACCCUGGUAGUCCACGCCGUAAAACGAUGGGUGCUAGACGUUGGC
RNAcentral lists this ribosomal RNA (460 nucleotides) under uncultured bacterium. Its description in RNAcentral is "partial 16S ribosomal RNA". It matches the Rfam family "Bacterial small subunit ribosomal RNA", at positions 356 to 827 of the family's 1533-position model. The record is from RNAcentral.